Molecule: ribosomal RNA, 383 nt
Filed under: uncultured bacterium
Lineage: Bacteria
Description: bacterial SSU rRNA
Rfam family: Bacterial small subunit ribosomal RNA
Source: RNAcentral
GACGAACGCUGGCGGCGUGCUUAACAUGCAAGUCGAGCGGUAAGGCCCUCGGGUACGACGAGCGGCGAACGGGUGAGUAACACGUGGGUGACCUGCCUCUAGCUCUGGGAUAAGCCUGGGAAACUGGGUCUAAUACCGGAUAUGACUCCACGGCGCAUGUUGUGGGGUGGAAAGCCUUGUGUGGCUAGAGAUGGGCCCGCGGCCUAUCAGCUUGUUGGUGGGGUGANGGCCUACCAAGGCGACGACGGGUAGCCGGCCUGAGAGGGCGACCGGCCACACUGGGACUGAGACACGGCCCAGACUCCUACGGGAGGGCAGCAGUGGGGAAUCUUGCGCAAUGGGCGAAAGCCUGACGCAGCGACGCCGCGUGAGGGAUGACGGCC